CCUACGGGAGGCAGCAGUGAGGAAUAUUGGUCAAUGGACGAGAGUCUGAACCAGCCAAGUAGCGUGAAGGAUGACUGCCCUAUGGGUUGUAAACUUCUUUUAUAUGGGAAUAAAAUGUUCCACGUGUGGGAUUUUGUAUGUACCAUAUGAAUAAGGAUCGGCUAACUCCGUGCCAGCAGCCGCGGUAAUACGGAGGAUCCGAGCGUUAUCCGGAUUUAUUGGGUUUAAAGGGAGCGUAGGUGGAUUGUUAAGUCAGUUGUGAAAGUUUGAGGCUCAACCGUAAAAUUGCAGUUGAAACUGGCAGUCUUGAGUACAGUAGAGGUGGGCGGAAUUCGUGGUGUAGCGGUGAAAUGCUUAGAUAUCACGAAGAACUCCGAUUGCGAAGGCAGUUCACUGGACUGCAACUGACACUGAGGCUCGAAAGUGUGGGUAUCAAACAGGAUUAGAUACCCCUGUAGUC
RNAcentral lists this ribosomal RNA (460 nucleotides) under uncultured bacterium. RNAcentral's name for it is "partial 16S ribosomal RNA". It matches the Rfam family "Bacterial small subunit ribosomal RNA", at positions 338 to 795 of the family's 1533-position model. The record is from RNAcentral.